Molecule: unclassified non-coding RNA, 207 nt
Filed under: Glomeraceae sp.
Lineage: Eukaryota; Fungi; Glomeromycota; Glomeromycetes; Glomerales; Glomeraceae
Description: partial contains 5.8S ribosomal RNA and internal transcribed spacer 2
Rfam family: 5.8S ribosomal RNA (bases 1-65)
Source: RNAcentral
GUGAAUCAUCAAAUCUUUGAACGCAAAUUGCACUCUCUUCGGAGAGUAUGCCUGUUUGAGGGUCAGCAUAAAAAAAAUCGACAUCGUUGUUGUUUCGCGGUGGCGUUCGUCGGAAAUUGGGUUAUCUUAAAUAUUUGGUUUAAGGGACUUAAAAUUUUCUUUACGAUUCCAUGAACGUUUCUAAGUUUUAUGUCUUAAACGUUUUUG